GAACCCACCUGACACAAGUUGGGUACUCACUCGAUAUAGAGUGUAGAGCGAACGAGGGGAACUGAAACAUCUAAGUACCCUUAGGAAGAGAAAUCAAUUGAGAUUCCCGUAGUAGUGGCGAGCGAAGUGGGAAGAGCCUGGUAUGAUUUAGCUGUAAUUAUAGUAGAACAAGUUGGGAAGCUUGACGAUAGAGGGUGAUAGUCCCGUAUACGAAAUAAUCACAGUGGAACUAAGCAUACGAACAAGUAGGACGGGGCACGUGGAACCUUGUCUGAAUAUGGGGGGACCAUCCUCCAAGGCUAAAUACUCCUGAAUGACCGAUAGUGAACUAGUACCGUGAGGGAAAGGUGAAAAGAACCCUUAUAAAGGGAGUGAAAUAGAAUCUGAAACCGC
RNAcentral lists this ribosomal RNA (393 nucleotides) under Francisella tularensis. Its description in RNAcentral is "partial 23S ribosomal RNA". It matches the Rfam family "Bacterial large subunit ribosomal RNA", at positions 124 to 559 of the family's 2925-position model. The record is from RNAcentral. Lineage: Bacteria; Pseudomonadati; Pseudomonadota; Gammaproteobacteria; Thiotrichales; Francisellaceae.